This 24-nucleotide non-coding RNA is filed under the name Mus musculus (house mouse). Lineage: Eukaryota; Metazoa; Chordata; Mammalia; Rodentia; Muridae. RNAcentral also lists the same sequence under 1 other name. The record is from RNAcentral.
UCCUAUGAUUCUGGUGCAAAGUGC